RNAcentral lists this ribosomal RNA (437 nucleotides) under uncultured bacterium. RNAcentral's name for it is "partial 16S ribosomal RNA". It matches the Rfam family "Bacterial small subunit ribosomal RNA", at positions 29 to 507 of the family's 1533-position model. The record is from RNAcentral.
AGCGAACGCUGGCGGCGGGCUUAACACAUGCAAGUCGAGCGGGCAUCCUUGUGGUGUCAGCGGCAGACGGGUGAGUAACGCGUGGGAACGUGCCCUUCGGUUCGGAAUAACUCAGGGAAACUUGAGCUAAUACCGGAUACGUGCGAGAGCAGAAAGGUUUAUCUGCCGAAGGAUCGGCCCGCGUCUGAUUAGCUAGUUGGUGAGGUUAUGGCUCACCAAGGCGACGAUCAGUAGCUGGUCUGAGAGGAUGAUCAGCCACACUGGGACUGAGACACGGCCCAGACUCCUACGGGAGGCAGCAGUGGGGAAUAUUGGACAAUGGGGGCAACCCUGAUCCAGCCAUGCCGCGUGAGUGAUGACGGCCUUAGGGUUGUAAAGCUCUUUUCUCCGGGACGAUGAUGACGGUACCGGAGGAAUAAGCCCCGGCUAACUUCGUG